This is a non-coding RNA of Pangasius djambal, 76 nucleotides long. NCBI's taxonomy places the organism in Eukaryota, Metazoa, Chordata, Actinopteri, Siluriformes, Pangasiidae. The record is from the annotation of a GenBank genome assembly.
GGGGUCCCUGGUGGACUUGUGUUUAGGCCACAGCGCUCUCACCACUGUGGCCUGGGUUCGAUUCCUGGCGACCCCA